AAAACGGGCAGCUCCGGGGUGAGUCAAAGUCACCAUGCACUUGCUGGAUCUGUUUUGAUGCCGAAAUGACGUGGACCCUGGCACUAGGCGGAUCGAAAGCAAAGGAAAUACGCCUGCUUUAUGUUGUUAUGACACAUAUAUUUCCCCCCAAAUGACAUUAAAGAGUACCAGAGGCUCAAACAUUGUUCUGUUUAUCUGUUCCCCGGGUAGGGCUCUUACUCUUAGAGACAGCCUCAACACUGCAGAGCGUGGCCCUGUCAGGAAAAUUCUGCCUUUGGCACGAGGAGCAUUAGCAAUUGUGACACGGGAAGCCAGCCCAGGGGGUCAGGGCAUGAGUGGCCAUUGCCCACUGCCACCUGCCAGAGACACGCAAAGCGCUGAGCCGCUGGAGGAGACGCCGCUGCUGCGCGCUCAGGUUCACAGGUGACCCACAGCUACCCUAAGGAAGGACACGGCUACCCUAAAACACACCUAGGAUAAGAGAUUUUUUGCUGCUUUUCGACAUCCAGAUUUUCCCCCUCCCCAAGAAAGGGUUGGGACAAUUCCUGGAACUGGGAAAAAAAAAUGGGAAUGUAAAUCUUUUCUGCUUUUAAAAACACGUCUUACAGUGAGUGAGGAACGCUCAGCCAGCCCAGGGCUCUCUGAUUUCCAGGAACAAACUAUAAAAGCCAUUUAGGUUGUCCGGAAAUAACUUUGACAUUUCCCUUUCAUAUUUCCAAGGCAAAUUCAAAGGACACGUUUUUCCUCUGCUGCUCUGUGGCUGGACUACUGCGAAUACGUGCAUUUUCAUGUAAAUACAACAGAGCACUUGGGGCUGCAGGAUGUUGGCGAGCUCACCUCGAUCAGGAGAAAAUCCCUCGCCCAGGUUUCAGCAGAAAUCUGCAGACACGGCCAGCAGAAUCACGCUGCCAGGCUCAGCGGGAUAUGCACUUGCAGACAGCGUGAGUCACUUGCCCUGGAGCCGUAGGAGCAGAGAACAUCUGAAGAUCUAGAUCAGAUUGGUGAAUCAGCAGCAUCUGAAACAGUUUAAGAGGUUAAGCCUAUUUAUAGGCAAAUGAGGGUAAUUUUCAUCGCUGAAGGGAUUGGAUUUUUCUUCUUAAUAAAUUCAUAAUUAACCAUAGGGAGGAGAAUACUGAGAUCUGUACUAGUUAACUGCUCACAGAGCGGAGGAGGUUUGCCCAAGACAGGGAUGGAGACAAAGGAACCAGAAACUCGAGAGCAUUAUUCUCACUUUCUUGCUUUUUAUCCACCCACGGGAUUAGAUUAUGCUUUCAGGACAGUACAAAGCAUCCCUUUGGAGCCAAACAUUAAUCCCAGUGUCUGGUACACCAGUGGGACUCCCCUGACAUCCAUUUCUUAAUCUAUUUUAUAUUUUACUCCUAUUAUCACUACUAGUGGAUGUGAGAUUUAAUUUGUCAGUGUACAGCAGCAGAGUUAGGUGGCAUCAUCAGUCAAGUGAGAAGGAAUGGGACUUGCUGAGUGAUCAUGGACAAAAUACGUUACUUCUUUCGUGUCUCUGUUGCCAUGAGAUUAAAAUAAGGAUGCUACCAACCCCACAGAGGCAUUGCGAAGGAAUCCAUAGAGCCUGAAAAAUGCCAUCUCUUGUAAACUGCCAAAGGCAUCUGCUGUACAGUCCCACUGCAGCUAUUUGCUGUUUAGGAAGUAAUCACACCUACAGAAAGAGUGCUGUGCUCUUACACGAGCAUAAUGAUGAACUAAAACGAACUGAUAAUCUGCUGGAUAAAGGCAAAGAGUCAUAAAAUGAAUAGAGGUCUGAUUUUGAGUGAGACUGUCAAAAAUAAAAAAAUAAAUAAAACAUUUAAUGCUCCUUUAACGACCACCAAUGUUAAAAAAAAAGCUUUUCUAAAUAGCAGAGCUGAAGUUAGACCCCACCUCCUUUCAUUACAAUGCAUUUUAGUACAGUGCUUUUCACAGAAAUCAGGAAUGGAUUGAGCAUGGAGUUACAGACCCUCCAGGAGAAGAACGGGCUGUAUGGAAAGGACACGAACACGUGCAGCAUCUGCAGGGGGACCAUGCCUCGGCAGUAGGAACAGUGUUACUUAAGCAGGGGCUCUCCUGCCUGGAGGCAGUCUCUCAAGGAAACCAAAAGUCUCCCACCAGGUACCUGGAUAUGAAAACCUUCCCUUUGAGGUCAUCUGAAACCUUUUUUAAAAAUACAGAGUAACUUGUAUGGAGCACUCCAUAAACCUGUUUCAUUUCCAAGUCUGCAAUUGCAGGUCAUGCCAAAACACCAUAUUUCCAUAGCAUACACUACUACAUCCACGUACACAGGACCAGAUCUUUGCUUUUUUCUUGAAAAAAAAAAAAAAAAUCAGUUCUUUCAAUGUUUUGCACCAGCCUUCCUGAGACGCCUUCCUAUAACCUCCCCUCAGCAUCUGUUUUAUUUUAAAAGGAUAAAAA
Long non-coding RNA from Cygnus olor (mute swan), 2421 nucleotides. RefSeq lists it as uncharacterized. Lineage: Eukaryota; Metazoa; Chordata; Aves; Anseriformes; Anatidae. The transcript has 3 exons. The record is from RefSeq and is a predicted model, not a curated record.